This 490-nucleotide ribosomal RNA is filed under the name uncultured bacterium. RNAcentral's name for it is "partial 16S ribosomal RNA". It matches the Rfam family "Bacterial small subunit ribosomal RNA", at positions 30 to 507 of the family's 1533-position model. The record is from RNAcentral.
AUUGAACGCUGGCGGCAGGCCUAACACAUGCAAGUCGAACGGUAACAGGAAGAAGCUUGCUUCUUUGCUGACGAGUGGCGGACGGGUGAGUAAUGUCUGGGAAACUGCCUGAUGGAGGGGGAUAACUACUGGAAACGGUAGCUAAUACCGCAUAACGUCGCAAGCCCAAAGAGGGGGACCUUCGGGCCUCUUGCCAUCGGAUGUGCCCAGAUGGGAUUAGCUUGUAGGUGGGGUAACGGCUCACCUAGGCGACGAUCCCUAGCUGGUCUGAGAGGAUGACCAGCCACACUGGAACUGAGACACGGUCCAGACUCCUACGGGAGGCAGCAGUGGGGAAUAUUGCACAAUGGGCGCAAGCCUGAUGCAGCCAUGCCGCGUGUAUGAAGAAGGCCUUCGGGUUGUAAAGUACUUUCAGCGGGGAGGAAGGGAGUAAAGUUAAUACCUUUGCUCAUUGACGUUACCCGCAGAAGAAGCACCGGCUAACUCCGUG